GGGCCUAGCGGUAAGGCGCGGGGCUCGUCGAAGGGCGGGGUUUAGAGCCCCCCAGGCUACACAGCCAAAGCCAGGGGGCUGGCCUAGCCAAAAGGGGCGGGCGAGCACGGCCCGCGGGCGGUGUUUACUGGAGCUGGUGGACGGGGCGGCUGACCGAGAGGCUGACGCGCGGCGGGGCAGACAGCUGGGGACUGCGGGCGGCGCUGUGUCCGUCGCCAUGACAGAUCAGACCUAUUGUGACCGCCUGGUGCAGGACACGCCUUUCCUGACAGGCCACGGGCGCUUGAGUGAGCAGCAGGUGGACAGGAUCAUCCUCCAGCUGAACCGUUACUACCCACAGAUCCUUACCAACAAGGAGGCGGAAAAGUUCCGGAACCCCAAGGCAUCCUUGCGUGUGAGGCUCUGUGACCUCCUGAGCCACCUGCAGCGGAGCAGUGAGCGGGACUGCCAGGAGUUCUACCGAGCCCUGUAUAUCCAUGCCCAGCCCCUGCACAGCCGCCUGCCCAGCCGCCACGCUCUGCGUAAGUUCCACGUCCCCAACCAUGCAUGCUUGGUGCUGGGCCAGGGAGGGCACCCCAGCCUGCUGUUGAUGGCAUGGAUGUCCUCCAUGACCACCCAAGUCUGCUGCAGCCCAGGCCUGGCAUCCCCUCUCGCCUCAGCCCCUCCCCAGAGGCCACCCUCUGGCCCCGAGGGGAGAGUGUGGCAGGCACAGGCAGUGCAGAUGUUGGUCUUUGUCUUACACUUUCUCCCCCUUCCUCCGUCUCUCUCUUUCAUGGCAGUUUUCACACAGCAUGGGGCAUCUCGUACGUCCGCUCUUGCCCUUCCUUUUCUAACCUCAUUCCACGGGGAUCCCUUCAUGUCUGUGUGGACAGCAGCCUUGUUCCCACAGCUGCAUGGCGCUCCUAGGCAGUCCCAGCUGGAAUUACCCAACCCCAUGACGGACCCUUUCAUUGCAGCGAUCUGCACACGUGUGGGUGUUUCCAUAGGGCAUUGUCAGGCACAGAUGGCUGGUCCGAAGCACGUGCAUUUCAGUUUUGAGGCUCCUGUCCUCAGGCAGUGUGCACUCAGGCCCUGGGAGUCAUGUGGAUGCCAGUAGCCUGGGCCCACAGAGCUGCCGGGACAUGGGGGGCACAUCAAGGUGAAGAUGGCAACUCUGAUCUGACGCCUCUGUGCUCAGGGUCCCUGGAGGAGGGGCUACUGCCCCUUGGCGCUUAGACAACAGGACAGAGACCAGAGGGACUGGGUGGCUCGCCCCAGGCUACUGGGCUGGGGUCUCUGACCCCCCCGGAGGCCUCCCAGGACACAGUGUAGACGGUGGGCAGGGAGAGCUUGAGGGGAGGCCCAGCCCUGCAGGUGGGACUGGCUCUCCCUCCCCAGCCACGAGUAUGCCACAGGGGGCUUUCAAAACCAGGCAGGGCCAAGCCUCAGCCCCACUGGAGGUAGAGCACCUUCUGUGGCUCCUGGGUGCCUUUAGGCCCUUCCAGGUCACAGGCUGGAGAGCCUCCCGGGGAGGCCUGGGCAGAAAGCUCCUGGCCCAGCUGCACCCAGUGAGGCACCCACCAUGCCGACAGCAGCCAUGCUGUCCACAGCGACGUUCAUGCUGCGUUUGGUGCCUGUGGCCACCAGGGUACAAUGGCUUUCCCCAUGCCUGUGGCACUUGAAGUCACGAAGUCACAGGAGCUGGACCAGAGGAGAAGACCCAGACUGCGCAUAGUUCCCUGAGGAGGGCUGGCCUCAGGUGCCACAGCCUGGUUUGGCCUGGCGGCCCCAGGAGGCAGCAGCAGCCUUGGGCUUCCUGUGGGGUGACUACCUUGCUCUCCGGCCCUGCCCGUUGACUAACCAUGCUCUGUGGUUUUGUUUCCAGAGAACUCAGAUUGCACAGAGCUAGACUCGGGCAGCCAGAGCGGCGAGCUGAGUGACAGGGGACCCAUGAGCUUCCUGGCUGGCCUGGGCCUUGCUGUGGGACUGGCCCUGCUCCUGUACUGCUAUCCACCAGACCCCAAGGGCCUGCCAGGGACCCGGCGCGUCCUCGGUUUCUCACCUGUCAUCAUCGACAGACAUGUCAGCCGCUACCUGCUGGCCUUCCUGGCAGAUGACCUAGGGGGGCUCUGACAGACCCCUGACCCAGGGCCUCACCUGCCACUCAACCAAAGAGUCCUCCAGCCGGCCCGCCAAGGGGACUGCUGCUUCUUUUUCUAAAUGCGUAUUUUUCAUUAUUUAUAAUUUGUGUAAAAAACACACCUUCACCUUACAAGGUGCUGACCAUAUUAAAUGUUCAGGUUCUCUCA
Nomascus leucogenys (northern white-cheeked gibbon) is the source of this 2288-nucleotide RNA transcript. It is a transcript of the gene named caspase recruitment domain family member 19, with no coding region annotated. NCBI's taxonomy places the organism in Eukaryota, Metazoa, Chordata, Mammalia, Primates, Hylobatidae. The record is from RefSeq and is a predicted model, not a curated record. The transcript is spliced from 5 exons.